Molecule: ribosomal RNA, 881 nt
Filed under: uncultured bacterium
Lineage: Bacteria
Description: bacterial SSU rRNA
Rfam family: Bacterial small subunit ribosomal RNA
Source: RNAcentral
GGCUCAGGACGAACGCUGGCGGCGUGCUUAACACAUGCAAGUCGAGCGGUAAGGCCCUUUCGGGGUACACGAGCGGCGAACGGGUGAGUAACACGUGGGUGACCUGCCCCCUACUCUGGGAUAAGCCUGGGAAACUGGGUCUAAUACCGGAUAUGACUACUGGUUGCAUGACUGGUGGUGGAAAGUUCUUCGGUGGGGGAUGGGCCCGCGGCCUAUCAGCUUGUUGGUGGGGUGAUGGCCUACCAAGGCGACGACGGGUAGCCGGCCUGAGAGGGCGACCGGCCACACUGGGACUGAGACACGGCCCAGACUCCUACGGGAGGCAGCAGUGGGGAAUAUUGCGCAAUGGGCGGAAGCCUGACGCAGCGACGCCGCGUGGGGGAUGACGGCCUUCGGGUUGUAAACCUCUUUCGGCCCCGACGAAGCGUGAGUGACGGUAGGGGUAGAAGAAGCACCGGCCAACUACGUGCCAGCAGCCGCGGUAAUACGUAGGGUGCGAGCGUUGUCCGGAAUUAUUGGGCGUAAAGAGCUCGUAGGCGGUCUGUCGCGUCGAUCGUGAAAACUUGGGGCUUAACCCUGAGCUUGCGAUCGAUACGGGCAUGACUGGAGUUCGGCAGGGGAGACUGGAAUUCCUGGUGUAGCGGUGAAAUGCGCAGAUAUCAGGAGGAACACCGGUGGCGAAGGCGGGUCUCUGGGCCGAUACUGACGCUGAGGAGCGAAAGCGUGGGGAGCGAACAGGAUUAGAUACCCUGGUAGUCCACGCCGUAAACGGUGGGCGCUAGGUGUGGGGGCCAUUCCACGGUCUCUGUGCCGUAGCUAACGCAUUAAGCGCCCCGCCUGGGGAGUACGGCCGCAAGGCUAAAACUCAAAGGAAUUGACGG